Molecule: long non-coding RNA, 703 nt
Filed under: Salmo salar (Atlantic salmon)
Lineage: Eukaryota; Metazoa; Chordata; Actinopteri; Salmoniformes; Salmonidae
Description: lncRNA (ENSSSAG00000097147.1)
Source: RNAcentral
CAGUGAUAUGCCCUUCCAAGCCCUACCCAAAAGUGCAGUAUUCAAUAGAAAAAGUAUAACUAACAAGUAAAAAAAAUGUAAAUAUGGGAAAUAAGAAAUGAGAGGAAAUAUAUACAUGUGCCAUUGCCAAAUGUUCAAUGUGCAGGGAUACUGGAGUAUAGAGGUAGAUAUGUACAUGUAGGCAGGGAUACUGGAGUAUAGAGGUAGAUAUGUACAUGUAGGCAGGGAUACCGGAGUAUAGAGGUAGAUAUGUACAUGUAGCCAGGGAUACUGGAGUAUAGAGGUAGAUAUGUACAUGUAGCCAGGGAUACUGGAGUAUAGAGGUAGAUAUGUACAUGUAGGCAGGGAUACUGGAGUAUAGAGGUAGAUAUGUACAUGUAGCCAGGGAUACUGGAGUAUAGAGGUAGAUAUGUACAUGUAGCCAGGGAUACUGGAGUAUAGAGGUAGAUAUAUACAUGUAGCCAGGGAUUAGGAGAAAGUGACAUGGAGAAACGUAAAUAAUAAUAUUAACAAUUAUAAUUACAUUAUAAUUAUAAUAAUAAACAGUAUGGCAGCAGCAUAAGUGGUGGGUGUGUGCGUGUUGGUGUGUGUGUGUAGGUACGUGUGUGCGUGUUGGUGAGUGGGUGUAGGUACGUGUGUGCGUGUUGGUGAGUGUGUGUAGGUACGUGUGUGGGUGUGUGCGUGUUGGUGAGUGGGUGUAGGU